RNAcentral lists this ribosomal RNA (292 nucleotides) under uncultured bacterium. RNAcentral describes it as "partial 16S ribosomal RNA". It matches the Rfam family "Bacterial small subunit ribosomal RNA", at positions 505 to 796 of the family's 1533-position model. The record is from RNAcentral.
GUGUCAGCAGCCGCGGUAAUACAGAGGUCUCAAGCGUUAAUCGGAGUCACUGGGCUUAAAGGGUGCGUAGGCGGACCUGUAAGUGCUUUGUGAAAUCCCAUGGCUCAACCAUGGAAUGGCUCGGCAUACUGCAGGUCUUGAGGUCGGUAGGGGUUGCCGGAACUCUAGGUGGAGCGGUGAAAUGCGUAGAUAUCUAGAGGAACGCCGAAGGUGAAGACAGGCAACUGGGCCGAUUCUGACGCUGAGGCACGAAAGCGUGGGGAGCAAACGGGAUUAGAAACCCGCGUAGUCC